Molecule: ribosomal RNA, 311 nt
Filed under: uncultured Hyphomicrobiaceae bacterium
Lineage: Bacteria; Pseudomonadati; Pseudomonadota; Alphaproteobacteria; Hyphomicrobiales; Hyphomicrobiaceae
Description: bacterial SSU rRNA
Rfam family: Bacterial small subunit ribosomal RNA
Source: RNAcentral
UGGCUCAGAACGAACGCUGGCGGCAGGCCUAAUACAUGCAAGUCGAACGCUCCAGCAAUGGAGAGUGGCAGACGGGUGAGUAACGCGUGGGAACCUUCCCAGUGGUACGGAAUAGCUCAGGGAAACUUGAGGUAAUACCGUAUACGCCCCAAGGGGGAAAGAUUUAUCGCCAUUGGAUGGGCCCGCGUCGGAUUAGCUAGUUGGUGGGGUAAUGGCCUACCAAGGCGACGAUCCGUAGCUGGUCUGAGAGGAUGAUCAGCCACACUGGGACUGAGACACGGCCCAGAGUCCUACGGGAGGCAGCAGUGGGA